Molecule: ribosomal RNA, 323 nt
Filed under: uncultured Clostridium sp.
Lineage: Bacteria; Bacillati; Bacillota; Clostridia; Eubacteriales; Clostridiaceae
Description: bacterial SSU rRNA
Rfam family: Bacterial small subunit ribosomal RNA
Source: RNAcentral
UGGGGAAUAUUGCGCAAUGGGGGCAACCCUGACGCAGCAACGCCGCGUGAAGGAUGACGGUCUUCGGAUUGUAAACUUCUUUAAGUGUGGAAGAAAUUGACGGUACACACAGAAUAAGCCACGGCUAACUACGUGCCAGCAGCCGCGGUAAUACGUAGGUGGCGAGCGCUGUCCGGAUUUACUGGGUGUAAAGGGCGUGUAGGCGGGAUUACAAGUCAGAUGUGAAAUACCGGGGCUUAACUCCGGGGCUGCAUUUGAAACUGUAGUUCUUGAGUGCCGGAGAGGGAAAGCGGAAUUCCUAGUGUAGCGGUGAAAUGCGUAGA